UUCCCUGAAACCUCUGUCUGUCAUCACAGGAUUCCUAGAACCCGUUCUGGAUAACACCUUUGUGUGGAAGUCUCAUACCAGCCUCUGCAGCUCCCGGAUCUCCUGAACCACGGCUAAAUCCUCCCUGGCUCUGUUCUCCUCCCGUGCGUCUCCUGUUCACCCUCCAACAACCCGCCUCACUUCUCCGAACCUCCGCCUCACUUCUCCGAACCUCCACAUCUACCCACAGCCCCGGUACCGGCUCACCUCUCCCACGCUCCGCUACAACCAAAUCUCAUGAUCCAAUCUCUAGCUCCGGAACCAGCCCAUCCCUGCCAGCCUCCGCUCACCUCUAAUAAACUAUUUUUUACUACA
Nothobranchius furzeri (turquoise killifish) is the source of this 354-nucleotide long non-coding RNA. RefSeq lists it as uncharacterized. The record is from RefSeq and is a predicted model, not a curated record. NCBI's taxonomy places the organism in Eukaryota, Metazoa, Chordata, Actinopteri, Cyprinodontiformes, Nothobranchiidae.